UUUAUGGAGAGUUUGAUCCUGGCUCAGGAUGAACGCUGGCGGCGUGCCUAAUACAUGCAAGUCGAGCGAACGGACGAGAAGCUUGCUUCUCUGAUGUUAGCGGCGGACGGGUGAGUAACACGUGGAUAACCUACCUAUAAGACUGGGAUAACUUCGGGAAACCGGAGCUAAUACCGGAUAAUAUUUUGAACCGCAUGGUUCAAAAGUGAAAGACGGUCUUGCUGUCACUUAUAGAUGGAUCCGCGCUGCAUUAGCUAGUUGGUAAGGUAACGGCUUACCAAGGCAACGAUGCAUAGCCGACCUGAGAGGGUGAUCGGCCACACUGGAACUGAGACACGGUCCAGACUCCUACGGGAGG
RNAcentral lists this ribosomal RNA (358 nucleotides) under Staphylococcus aureus. Its description in RNAcentral is "bacterial SSU rRNA". It matches the Rfam family "Bacterial small subunit ribosomal RNA", at positions 1 to 348 of the family's 1533-position model. Lineage: Bacteria; Bacillati; Bacillota; Bacilli; Caryophanales; Staphylococcaceae. RNAcentral also lists the same sequence under 1 other name. The record is from RNAcentral.